ACGAGUUUGAUCCUGGCUCAGGACGACGCUGGCGGCGUGCUUAACACAUGCAAGUCGAGCGGAAAGGCUCCUUCGGGGGUACUCGAGCGGCGAACGGGUGAGUAACACGUGAGUAAUCUGCCCUUGGCUUUGGGAUAAGCCCCGGAAACGGGGUCUAAUACCGGAUAUGACCGGCCACUGCAUGGUGGUUGGUGGAAAGUUUUUUCGGCCAGGGAUGUGCUCGCGGCCUAUCAGCUUGUUGGUGGGGUAAUGGCCUACCAAGGCUUCGACGGGUAGCCGGCCUGAGAGGGUGACCGGCCACACUGGGACUGAGACACGGCCCAGACUCCUACGGGAGGCAGCAGUGGGGAAUAUUGGACAAUGGGCGGAAGCCUGAUCCAGCAACGCCGCGUGAGGGAUGACGGCCUUCGGGUUGUAAACCUCUUUCAGUACCGACGAAGCGCCGAUGAUGGUGGUGACGGUAGGUACAGAAGAAGCACCGGCCAACUACGUG
Molecule: ribosomal RNA, 493 nt
Filed under: uncultured bacterium
Lineage: Bacteria
Description: bacterial SSU rRNA
Rfam family: Bacterial small subunit ribosomal RNA
Source: RNAcentral